This 700-nucleotide long non-coding RNA is filed under the name Micromonas commoda. RNAcentral's name for it is "long non-coding RNA (MCOM_LNC000142)". Lineage: Eukaryota; Viridiplantae; Chlorophyta; Mamiellophyceae; Mamiellales; Mamiellaceae. The record is from RNAcentral.
GAAAACCCUGUCGAGCUCAUCACUGUCCCCCUGCAGCAUGACAAGGCAAGCAUCGACGUUGCACUCCUUGUAGCCAACCUUCGCCGUCUCCUUGCUGAUGUGGCUGUGCUUGGUCUCCUUCUUGCCGACGGAGGCAGCCGCGGAGGCGCCGCCGUAGCAGAGAGCCUGGAACUCGUUGAUGAUGAUGUCCUUGAGCUUGUUGUCCUCGUUGGGGAGGGCGAUGUUGAGCAUGUCGAAGCACUGGUUAACCUGGCAGACGGCGUCCUCGGGACCGCCGAGCUCGGCGUUGGGGUUGGACGAGUACUCGCGGGACUUGACGCACACGGUCUCGAAGGAUUCGCCAAAGAUGUUGUCGAUGUCCUCCUCGUCGCCGCGGAGCAUGGUGAGGCACGCGUCGAUGGUGCAGGCGUCGCCCUUGCCGAGGGUGGCAGUGGAGGAGGCGCCGCCGUAGCAGAGAGCCUGGAACUCGUUGAUGAUGAUGUCCUUGAGCUUGUUGUCCUCGUUGGGGAGGGCGAUGUUGAGCAUGUCGAAGCACUCCGCAACGUCGCAGAUGGCAUCCUCGGGACCGCCGAGCUCGGCGUUGGGGUUGGACGAGUACUCGCGGGACUUGACGCACACGGUCUCGAAGGAUUCACCGAAGAUGUUGUCAAUCUGCUCAUCGUCGGCGCGGAGAAGGACGAGGCACGCGUCGACGUUGCAC